GUCUAUAUAGUUUAAUAAAAACAUUAAUUUUGUAAAUUAAUAUUACUUUCAAGUAAUAGACU
Molecule: transfer RNA, 62 nt
Filed under: Xenophyes cascus
Lineage: Eukaryota; Metazoa; Arthropoda; Insecta; Hemiptera; Peloridiidae
Description: tRNA-Thr
Source: RNAcentral